CGAAUAAUACAUUUAUUCAAGAAAUAGAGGCUACACCACAUUCAAAAUUCAAAAAUCAAUAAACAUGUAUAUAAACAUCAACAGUUGCAGCGGAAUAUAAACCAGAGUAAUCAAAAUAUGUACAUGUCAUGAAUCAAUAAAUUACAUCAACAUAGAUGCAUCUCAAAAAUCCCAAACAAACGGGUAAUCUCCAACAUAACAAAAUCCAAAGAUAACCUAAUCUAGACCGACACAACAAGCCUAGAUCAGAACCGACUCAACACCUAUAUCGGAGAAAGCUCCCGAUAUCCACCAAGCACAAAAACUCAUCAAGCAUCUAGUCCUGCACAACGUCUACACAUCCAUACAGAUAGGCAGGCGGUCCAUAACAAAUCCACUGGGGGGUAAGUAUUACAUCAUCAUAAUCCAAAUAACAGUUAACAUGAAUAUUUCAAUUUAAACAUCAUGCACUUGAUCAAUAAUAAUAUUCUCAUAUAUAUACUUACAUCAAAACUCCAAUAUCUCACAUCAAUAAUCAUCAAUCACAUGUGUCAUGAACAAAUAUCAAUUCACAGUUAUUCAUACACAAUCACCAAUCAUAUACAUCAUGAACAAUCACCAAUCACAUGUGCCAAACAUCAAUUCAUAAUUAUUCAUACAUAAUCACCAAUCACCAAUCACAUUUAUCAUGAAUAAUCAUUAAUCACAUUUCAUGAGUUCAUCAAUUCACAUAAUUAAUCAUAACAUGACACAACAAUACAUCAAAUACAAACAUCACCAUCAAUCACUUACAACCACAAGUACAUCAAGUAAUUUCACAACUAGGACUCAUGUCACCUCAUGAUAUGAUCCUAGACACAGCACCUAUAUGCAUGCGGCACCGGUCAUCACCAAUAUUUAGGCCGUCGCCCAUCAUCAUCAAAAUUAUCACCAAUUGGAUGUAUAAACAUAUCCGUCAUCGCCAAAUAUGUAUGUAUGAACAUAUAACUCAAUAAUAAUACAUAUGUCCACACAACAACUCACCAAAUCAUCACCAAUAUUUAUUUGCAUUUAUGCAAUCACACCAAUAAUUCAUCACCACAUACAUAAUUAAUACCGUACCAUAAUAACAAUGUAUAUGGACGCACCAAUAUCAUCUCAUCAUUACAAUAUUUCUCAUAUACCAAGUAAGAGAACAUAAAACACAUCAUGUUAAUAUCAUAUCCAAAAUACAAUCAUUCAUUCAUACAACUUCACUUAGUCAUACAAGAAUGGUCACAACAAUUCAUAAGACAAUACGACACAAAGAUUCUAGACCCCUUUUUCACAAGGUUAAUUCUUUCAUAAAAACACCCUUAGAUGAUUAGGAUAAAGUCCCUACACUUAAAAAUAAGUUUGGAAACAAUUUGGUUGAAGAAAAAUGCAUUUUAAAAGUUUCUGGUCAGGCAAAAUCGUAGUCCGAUUUUUCCCCAUCGUAGUACGAUUUUUUCGAGCUGAAACACCCCAAAACCUGGUCAAAAUCGUAGCCCGAUGAAUAAAAUCGUAGCCCGAUUUCUACUUGACAGACAACAUCAGAUUUUCCAAUUUUCACGUUUUCGCGCGUAAAAACCAAACCGUUAACCCGUUUUCGAUGCCGUUUUCACCUACACACUCCUGACACUUAGCCCUAUCUUAAUGUACAGAAAAAUUCAAGUUUCAACAUUUCCAAAUUCAUUUUCCAAAGCCUUACACAACACUCAUUUUUCCAAAACGGUUAACAAUUGAAUUUUCACCUAAAACUCCCGUUUUUCUCCCAAAACGACUCGACUAUCACAACUACAACCUAAAAACAGAAAUCCCAUCAAGUUUAACUCAUCCAACCACAUAGACAUCUCAAUCAACAACUUUGUAUAUCAAAUUUUACUUUGGGUCAUUCACAUGAACAUCUAGCACAACUUCACCAAUACAAACAACUUAUUUCAUAAAAUGGGAUGUCCAUGAUAUCAUUCAACAACAACAACAUAUCUACUUCAACAACACUUCAUUUAGACAUGAAUUCAACCAUAAUUCAACAACACAAUAUUCCAAUCCAACAAUUUGAGCAAAACUCAUAAGUACCCAUUUUCACCAAAACAACAACAACAACUUAUUUCACAACAACAAAUUAUGAAUCAUGCAUACCCAAGCCAUGAAUUAACAUCCAUAACAUCACUUAACAACAACAACAUCUAUUGAUCAUGAAACUUAUUACAAUUCAUCAACAACAUAGCAUAAUUCACCAAUUGAGCAUAAUUUACAAACUACCCAUUUUCAUACAUCAUGAACUUGCAAUUUCAUCAUCAACAAUUCAUUUAACAUCAAAUUAACAUAUUCAAACAUAUUUCUACAACAUAAGUACGAAUUUCAAAGAUUGGGUUCAUGAUAAUCACUUAUUCCCAUAAUCAAUUAUGCAUAGAACAAGAGAAAAAGAAUUAACCAAAUGAUUAUGAUAAAGACUAACCCCCUUACCUUAGAUGAAGAUUAAUCCCAACUUAGGCUUCAAUUUAGCUCCUAAGUUCACUCCAAUCCUUAAUUCUUCAAGCUCUCCCUCUUCUCUCUAACCCUUGUUCUUCUCUUCUCCCACUUUCUCUCUCUACAUCUCUCUAGAAAAUAUCUUAUGAAAUGAAUGAAGUGAUAUUCUCCUAAGACAACUCAUUAGGUAUAACCCUUAAUGGGCCUAACCUAGUUUCUAGUGGGCUUAACCCAUUUCUAUUCAAAC
This 2695-nucleotide long non-coding RNA is filed under the name Medicago truncatula (barrel medic). RNAcentral's name for it is "long non-coding RNA (MTRU_LNC000983)". The record is from RNAcentral. Lineage: Eukaryota; Viridiplantae; Streptophyta; Magnoliopsida; Fabales; Fabaceae.